CCGAUGCUUGUAGUAGGUCAGCGCAGGAGUGACGCAGAAGGGUAGCCGGCCGCGGAGGUGGUCUUCCGUGGUCAAGCACGCAGGGCGUGGGACAGGCAAAUCCGUCCCGCAUGGGUCCGAGGUGCGAUGAUGGGGGCCUUAUGGCCCGAUAUCCGGUGAUCCCGGCUGCCGAGAAAAGCUUCGGCGUCAGGCUCGAAGCCGCCCGUACCCCAAACCGACACUGGUGGUCAGGUAGAGAAUACCAAAGCGAUCGAGCGAAUCCUGGUCAAGGAACUCGGCAAAUCACUCCCGUUCCUUCGGUUUAAGGGAGACCCCCGAUGGUGAACCGCCUCGCGCGGGGAGCUUUUGGGGGUGGCACAGACCAGGGGGUAGCGACUGUUUACCAAAAACACAGGUGCAUGCGAAGGCGCAAGCCGCUGUAUAUGCACUGACGCCUGCCCGGUGCCGGAAGGUUAAGAGGAUCCGUCAGCCUUCGGGUGAAGCGGUGAAUUCAAGCCCCGGUAAACGGCGGUGGUAACUAUAACCAUCCUAAGGUAGCGAAAUUCCUUGUCGGGUAAGUUCCGACCUGCACGAAUGGCGUAACGACUUCCCCACUGUCUCGACCAGGAGCUCGGCGAAAUUGCAGUACGAGUAAAGAUGCUCGUUAAGCGCAGAAGGACGAAAAGACCCCGGGACCUUUACUAUACCUUGGUAUUGGCAUUCGGUGUGGAUUGUGUAGCAUAGGCGGGAGGCCGAGAGGCGCGGUCGCCAGAUCGCGCGGAGCCGUAAGGUGAAAUACCGCUCUGUUCGCAUUGGAUGUCUAACCUCGAACAGUCAUCCUGUUCAGGGACAGUGCCUGGCGGGUAGUUUAACUGGGGCGGUUGCCUCCCAAAGAGUAACGGAGGCGCCCAAAGGUCCGCUCAGCCCGGUUGGCAAUCGGGUGGCGAGUGCAAGUGCACAAGCGGGCUUGACUGCGAGGACGACGGUCCGAGCAGGGACGAAAGUCGGGACUAGUGAUCCGGUGCCGGUGUACGGACGCGGCAUCGCUCAACGGAUAAAAGGUACCCCGGGGAUAACAGGCUGAUCAUUCCCAAGAGUCCAUAUCGACGGGAUGGUUUGGCACCUCGAUGUCGGCUCGUCGCAUCCUGGGGCUGUAGUAGGUCCCAAGGGUUGGGCUGUUCGCCCAUUAAAGUGGCACGCGAGCUGGGUUCAG
Molecule: ribosomal RNA, 1192 nt
Filed under: human gut metagenome
Description: bacterial LSU rRNA
Rfam family: Bacterial large subunit ribosomal RNA
Source: RNAcentral